Molecule: ribosomal RNA, 253 nt
Filed under: uncultured bacterium
Lineage: Bacteria
Description: partial 16S ribosomal RNA
Rfam family: Bacterial small subunit ribosomal RNA
Source: RNAcentral
GACGAACCGUGCAAACGUUGUUCGGAAUCACUGGGCUUAAAGGGCGCGUAGGCGGGCGUUCAAGUCAGGGGUGAAAUCCCCCAGCUCAACUGGGGAACUGCCUCUGAUACUGGGUGCCUCGAGUGAGGUAGGGGCGUGCGGAACUGAUGGUGGAGCGGUGAAAUGUGUUGAUAUCAUCAGGAACUCCGGUGGCGAAAGCGGCGCGCUGGACCUUAACUGACGCUGAUGCGCGAAAGCCAGGGGAGCAAACGGG